This is a long non-coding RNA of Diceros bicornis minor, 625 nucleotides long. RefSeq lists it as uncharacterized. NCBI's taxonomy places the organism in Eukaryota, Metazoa, Chordata, Mammalia, Perissodactyla, Rhinocerotidae. The transcript has 3 exons. The record is from RefSeq and is a predicted model, not a curated record.
CUGGGAGUGAGAGAGAAAAACAACCUGCCCUUUCUCAGCCCCCUUAGAGGUGGGUCAUUGCAAUGUUAGCUGGUCUAAUAACUGGGCUUUUCCCUUGUACUUGGUGUGUUUCUAGCCCAGAUUGUCUUAGCUGUAGUCACACAUAGAUGUAAUUUUAUAUUCUGAAUUUUUUCCUUUUUGUAUCAGUGUUUUCUUUGCAUUGUGGGAAGGUCGUUGAAUCUACAAGAGCCUGAUGGAAUGACUCUGUACAGUGCAUAUAGUGCCACAAGUGUGGUAGAAACAUUGUAGGAAGUGUCAUGCUAGAGAAGAAGUUUGACCAGUCUGUCCCUACUGGAGAUAGAGCAAGAACAAAGAAGUUUUAUGUUCUUUAUUAAAAAGAACUUGCUGCUCGUGAGGUGGUGGAUUCCCAAAGAGACUGUGGUCCUUCUUCACUAGAAGUCAGAGACUUCCGUGAUGACUGCUAAGUAUUUUUGUCUUGAGUUUCAAACGCAGCUGGCAUUUUCUGCUUCUGAGAGAGGCCAGAGAAGCAUUCUUAGAAAGGUGUGAUUUCAAAGGAGAUCAUGUUCUAAAUCCAACUGCCUAUUACUUAUCAGUGUAAUUAUUCAUAAAACAUUUUCUUUCUGUA